Molecule: ribosomal RNA, 194 nt
Filed under: uncultured bacterium
Lineage: Bacteria
Description: partial 16S ribosomal RNA
Rfam family: Bacterial small subunit ribosomal RNA
Source: RNAcentral
GCCUACGGGAGGCAGCAGUGGGGAAUUGUUCGCAAUGGGCGCAAGCCUGACGACGCAACGCCGCGUGGAGGAUGAAGGUCUUCGGAUUGUAAACUCCUGUUGCCCGGGACGAAAUGUUCAGACCUAACACGUCUGAGUUUGACGGUACCGGGUGAGGAAGCCCCGGCUAACUCUGUGCCAGCACCCGCGGUAAU